AACGAACGCUGGCGGCGUGCUUAACACAUGCAAGUCGAACGGAAAGGCCCGCUUGCGGGUACUCGAGUGGCGAACGGGUGAGUAACACGUGGGCAACCUGCCCUCAGCUCUGGGAUAACUCCGGGAAACCGGUGCUAAUACUGGAUAUCGACUUCUGCUCGCAUGGGUGGUUGUUGAAAGUUUUUCGGCUGGGGAUGGGCCCGCGGCCUAUCAGCUUGUUGGUGGGGUGAUGGCCUACCAAGGCGACGACGGGUAGCCGGCCUGAGAGGGCGACCGGCCACACUGGGACUGAGACACGGCCCAGACUCCUACGGGAGGCAGCAGUGGGGAAUAUUGCACAAUGGGCGAAAGCCUGAUGCAGCAACGCCGCGUGAGGGAUGACGGCCUUCGGGUUGUAAACCUCUUUUAGUAGGGAAGAAGCGAAAGUGACGGUACCUGCAGAAAAAGCACCGGCUAACUACGUGCCAGCAGCCGCAGUAAUAC
RNAcentral lists this ribosomal RNA (483 nucleotides) under uncultured bacterium. Its description in RNAcentral is "bacterial SSU rRNA". It matches the Rfam family "Bacterial small subunit ribosomal RNA", at positions 29 to 526 of the family's 1533-position model. The record is from RNAcentral.